UUUUGGAAGCAAAUAAAGCAGAAAAAAAUUUAUUUGAAUUUUCUUUGGUUUAAAGUCACAGAGUGGCAAAUAACAUGAUUAUACAAAUAAUGUGAUUUUUCAAGGUGUUUAUUACUAGGGGAUUCCAAUCAAGGCUUACUCUUUGUUUUCAAUAUCAAAAUGAUAAAUAUUUUGCCUUUUACAAAAUAAUUAUUUUAUCACUCAAGGGCUGGUAUCUGUAGAUAAACUUUUGCUUCAGCACACUCUUCUGACAUGAAAAGCACUCAUAAAUCACAAUUUAAACUGCAAUUUCACAUCCUCUCAGAAACCACUCUAACAGAGGCAUGGCAAGUCAUUUAGGUAGUUGGCAGAGCAAAGCCUGUCAGUACACUUACACUGCAGGCAUGUAACCUGUUCUCCCUUCCUCCAUCUGCUGCAUCAAUUUGGGGUUGGGUAGGCAUUAUGCAAAACAAUAGCUUCUGCCAUUUCAGAAAUAUGUAGAAUUCCCCUUUAGCUUGCAGCCUUUUCUAUCCCUUCAUAUUGUACCAAGAUUUUGACAUCACGCACAUGAGUGCUUUACUGAAUCUGAAGGAAAAGGAGCUAAAAUGUAACAGGAGGUAUGGUAUUGCCAGGAGCGUGGUAGACAGUGAGAAGACCAUAGGCAGAUGGUCUGUUAAAUGCUUGUCCUUUGCAAGGGUGGGGAAUAUCACUCACAGAAUAAAAACCAUGGCCUUGGGCCACCCCCAUAGCUAGGUAAAUCUGCAUGGUAGAGGAGCACUGCCUUUCCAAGGUCAGACAUGACUGUUUCCCAGACAGAGGCUGGGAACACUCAUCCUGGAGGAACCUGCAGGACUGAACCAACCUUCCCCACUGUAGGUAGAGCCAAGCAGUGGAGCAGGGUGUUGAAGCAUCAACAGGACCAGUCUUGGUCCAGUGGAGACUGCAAGGAACAGCAGAGCUUCAGCCUUCUGCAAAACCAGCUGCAGAGAGGGAGAGAGACUCUGCUUUCUUCCAAGUACAGUGCCACCUUUCUUGGAAGUGGUUUUCCUUGAUUUCUGCAGCUAAUGGAAUAAUUUACCUUCCUAGUUACUUUGAUGAGUCUCUUUCUGUCUCCCAGUGAGCGAGGCACCUGUAUGAGGGUUAUUGGCAUCCAGACACUUUAUUAUACUCUCUCACAAGUAAUGGGUUUGAUUUUCAUGUUCAUUAAGGUUGCUCAACACCUGGUGAAAUGCUGCUUUUAGGACUCUCUAGUCUCCCAGGUUGGUGUGAAAGGGGUUUUGGCACAAGUAAGAAUAAAGGCCAGUACUAUCAUUACUUGCUGUUCA
This 1304-nucleotide long non-coding RNA is filed under the name Parus major (Great Tit). Its description in RNAcentral is "lncRNA (ENSPMJG00000016195.1)". The record is from RNAcentral. Lineage: Eukaryota; Metazoa; Chordata; Aves; Passeriformes; Paridae.